GACGAACGCUGGCGGCGUGCCUAAUACAUGCAAGUAGAACGCUGAAGGAGGAGCUUGCUUCUCUGGAUGAGUUGCGAACGGGUGAGUAACGCGUAGGUAACCUGCCUGGUAGCGGGGGAUAACUAUUGGAAACGAUAGCUAAUACCGCAUAAGAGUAGAUGUUGCAUGACAUUUGCUUAAAAGGUGCAAUUGCAUCACUACCAGAUGGACCUGCGUUGUAUUAGCUAGUUGGUGGGGUAACGGCUUACCAAGGCGACGAUACAUAGCCGACCUGAGAGGGUGAUCGGCCACACUGGGACUGAGACACGGCCCAGACUCCUACGGGAGGCAGCAGUAGGGAAUCUUCGGCAAUGGACUGAAGUCUGACCGAGCAACGCCGCGUGAGUGAAGAAGGUUUUCGGAUCGUAAAGCUCUGUUGUAAGAGAAGAACGAGUGUGAGAGUGGAAAGUUCACACUGUGACGGUAUCUUACCAGAAAGGGACGGCUAACUACGUG
RNAcentral lists this ribosomal RNA (495 nucleotides) under uncultured bacterium. RNAcentral describes it as "partial 16S ribosomal RNA". It matches the Rfam family "Bacterial small subunit ribosomal RNA", at positions 28 to 507 of the family's 1533-position model. The record is from RNAcentral.